This 76-nucleotide transfer RNA is filed under the name Microlunatus endophyticus. RNAcentral's name for it is "tRNA-Val". It matches the Rfam family "tRNA". Rfam says of the family: Transfer RNA (tRNA) molecules are approximately 80 nucleotides in length. Their secondary structure includes four short double-helical elements and three loops (D, anti-codon, and T loops). The record is from RNAcentral. Lineage: Bacteria; Bacillati; Actinomycetota; Actinomycetes; Propionibacteriales; Propionibacteriaceae.
GGGCGAUUGGCGCAGCGGUUAGCGCACUUCCCUGACACGGAAGGGGUCGGCAGUUCAAAUCUGCCAUCGCCCACCA